This 163-nucleotide unclassified non-coding RNA is filed under the name soil metagenome. Its description in RNAcentral is "partial internal transcribed spacer 1". The record is from RNAcentral.
AAGAGACGUUGCCCUUCGGGGUAUACCUCCCACCCUUUGUUUAUUAUACCUUUGCUUGCUUUGGCGGGCCCGUCCUCGGACCACCGGCUUCUGCUGGUCAGUGCCCGCCAGAGGACCUAAAACUCUGUUUGUUAAUAUUGUCUGAGUACUAUAUAAUAGUUUA